CGACAUUAAAAAGUAAUUGGGGGAUAGCUCGGGGAACUCGAAUUAAUACCGCAUACGACCUACGGGAGAAAGCCGGGCAACUCGUUGCUCUCGCUAUUAGAUGAGCCUAAGUCGGAUUAGCUAGAUGGUGGGGUAAAGGCCUACCAUGGCGACGAUCUGUAGCUGGUCUGAGAGGAUGAUCAGCCACACCGGGACUGAGACACGGCCCGGACUCCUACGGGAGGCAGCAGUGGGGAAUAUUGGACAAUGGGGGAAACCCUGAUCCAGCCAUGCCGCGUGUGUGAAGAAGGCCUUUUGGUUGUAAAGCACUUUAAGCAGUGAAGAAGACUCUUCGGUUAAUACCCGGAGACGAUGACAUUAGCUGCAGAAUAAGCACCGGCUAACUCUGUGCCAGCAGCCGCGGUAAUACAGAGGGUGCAAGCGUUAAUCGGAAUUACUGGGCGUAAAGCGAGCGUAGGUGGCUUGAUAAGUCAGAUGUGAAAUCCCCGGGCUUAACCUGGGAACUGCAUCUGAUACUGUCAGGCUAGAGUAGGUGAGAGGAAGGUAGAAAUUCCAGGUGUAGCGGUGAAAAUGCGUAGAGAUCUGGAGGAAUUACCCGAUGGCGAAG
RNAcentral lists this ribosomal RNA (607 nucleotides) under uncultured Psychrobacter sp. RNAcentral describes it as "bacterial SSU rRNA". It matches the Rfam family "Bacterial small subunit ribosomal RNA", at positions 120 to 720 of the family's 1533-position model. Lineage: Bacteria; Pseudomonadati; Pseudomonadota; Gammaproteobacteria; Moraxellales; Moraxellaceae. The record is from RNAcentral.